CUUUCUUUGGCCACUUUUAUGGUUAGUAAUGUCAUCUCCUUAGUAAGGGAAGAUCCUGGCUCCCCUCCUUCCCCCAGCAAACUACAGUGGUUGUCUUACAGAGAGUUUGUAGUAGACAGAGUAAUGGUGCUCCAGAGAUAUCCACAUUCUGAUCCCCAGAAUCUGUGAAUAUGUUACCUUACAUGGCAAAAGGAGCUCUGGAGAUGUGGUUAAGUUAAGGAUCUUGAGAUGGGAAGAUUAUCUUGGAUUUAUACAGGCGGGUCCAAUGUAAUCAUAAGGGUUUUUAUAAGAAGAAGGUGAGAAGGUCAGAGGCAGAGAAGGAGAUGUGAUGGUGGAAGCAGAGGUGGAAGUGAUGUUCUUUAAAGAUGGAGGACGGGCCUGCAAGGCAAGGAAUGCAGGCAGCCUCUAUAAACUGGCAAAGACGAGGAAACGGAUUCUCCCCUGGAAACUGCAGAAGAGAUGCAGCUCUGCCAACACCUUGAAUUUAGCCAUAAAACCCAUUUUGGACUUCAGAUCUCCAGACCCAUAAGCUGCCAGCUGAACCUGUGAACACUUUGGCCAAACUCUGUUGGCGGAUAUCUCCCCUCUUCCUUUGUCCAGAUGUACCAGUGCUGAGAACAUUUGAGCUUUUCUCUGUGUUGCAUAUGGACGAAAAUGGUCACCUCUACCCAAACUCUACACCGGAAUUCAAGAACUCACCACUGUCUGAGCUUUGCCUCUGGGCCUAUUCCUGGUCCAGUCAUCUGAAGGGAAGAUGGAAGAUAUGAACAUCAGGGAGGAUGCAGUUCUUAGAGAAUGUACCUUACUAGGGAGGCAACAAGAUGUCUGCUACAGAGGGGCAUGUCCGAACUUUCCAAGACAGCAAUCUUUCCAUAAGACUCCACUGCUUAAGUAUUGUGGACAGUAGUAUUACUAUUUGUCAGUAGUUGCAUUUCUAUUCCUCACAACUGUUUCUACAGGAGGAUUAUACAUCCCUGCCCUAUUGAACUCAGUUAGAGUCAUGUGACUUGCUUUGGCCAACAAAAUGUCAGUAGAAGUGUCAUGUGUCACUUCUGAGCAGAAGAGUUAAGAGCCAGCCUGGGGUUCUCCAUGCCUCUCCUCCCUUUGCCAUCAUGCUUGAUUGGCAAAGUCCCAGACAGAAGGAGUAAAGACAUGAUGGAACACAGCUGCUUGUACCCGCAGGACAGGUAGAGGAAGAAAGAAACUUUUGCUAUUUCAAGCCACUGAGAUUUUAGAGUAGUUUGUUUUCACAGUUUAUUCUGACUGAAACUAAUAUAUCACAACCUAAAUCAUAUAAGCAGCAGGCAGAAAUGGGGAAAAAAAUACACUCUUACUUGAUAACCCCAUUUAAGUAGAGCUUUUAGUGACCAUGUAGAUUUCUAAUUACACCACAUUGGAACAUGUAGUUGGUAGCUACUCCCAUGCCCUACAGUCCAGUCUUAGGCAAAAUGAGGAAGCCGGCAAAAUGGUUGUUUAGUUCCUGUUUGUCCCCCUUCCCCUACCUCUGCUCCCGUUGCACAGGGACAUGUAUCUUUGAGCAGGCAUAUCCAGACUGCCCUUGGCCCUGGACCUCCCCUUUCCUUGCUCUCAUACCGUCUCAAGCUCACUUCUCCACCCUUCCCCUCUUAUAAACU
Molecule: long non-coding RNA, 1634 nt
Organism: Equus asinus (donkey)
Lineage: Eukaryota; Metazoa; Chordata; Mammalia; Perissodactyla; Equidae
Source: Ensembl